CAUGUAGGCGGCGGCUUAAGUCGGACGUGAAAGCUCCCGGCUCAACUGGGAGAGGCCGUUCGAAACUAGGUCGCUCGAGGAUGGUAGAGGAAAGUGGAAUUCCCGGUGUAGUGGUGAAAUGCGUAGAUAUCGGGAGGAACACCAGUGGCGAAGGCGGCUUUCUGGGCCAUUCCUGACGCUGAGAUGCGAAAGCUAGGGGAGAGAACG
Molecule: ribosomal RNA, 207 nt
Filed under: uncultured bacterium
Lineage: Bacteria
Description: partial 16S ribosomal RNA
Rfam family: Bacterial small subunit ribosomal RNA
Source: RNAcentral